This 253-nucleotide ribosomal RNA is filed under the name uncultured bacterium. RNAcentral describes it as "partial 16S ribosomal RNA". It matches the Rfam family "Bacterial small subunit ribosomal RNA", at positions 524 to 776 of the family's 1533-position model. The record is from RNAcentral.
UACGUAGGGCGCGAGCGUUGUCCGGAAUUAUUGGGCGUAAAGAGCUCGUAGGCGGCCUGUUGCGUCCGCUGUGAAAUCCCAGGGCUCAACCCUGGGCGUGCAGUGGAUACGGGCAGGCUGGAGGCAGGCAGGGGAGAACGGAAUUCCCGGUGUAGCGGUGAAAUGCGCAGAUAUCGGGAGGAACACCAGUGGCGAAGGCGGCCUUCUGGACCAGUACUGACGCUCAUGCACGAAAGCGUGGGGAGCAAACAGG